GCAGGUUGAAGCGCGGGUAAGACCGCGUGGAGGACCGAACCCACCUGGGUUGAAAACCGGGGGGAUGACCUGGGGCUAGGGGUGAAAGGCCAAUCAAAUUCCGUGAUAGCUGGUUCUCUCCGAAAUGCAUUUAGGUGCAGCGUCGGUCGAUUGCGUCGCGGGGGUAGAGCUACCGGAUGCUUGCGGGCCCUUGUUGGGUACCAACAGCAGCCGAACUCCGAAUACCGUUGACGUGUAUUCCGGCAGUGAGUCGGCGGGGGAUAAGCUCCGUCGUCGAGAGGGAGACAGCCCAGACCGUCGUCUAAGGUCCCGAAGCGUGUGCUAAGUGGGAAAGGAUGUGGAGUCGCAUAGACAGCCAGGAGGUUGGCUCAGAAGCAGCCAUCCUUGAAAGAGUGCGUAACAGCUCACUGGUCUAGUGGUUCCGCGCCGACAAUGUAGCGGGGCUCAAGCACACCACCGAAGACGCGGCAGCAAUCUUCAUGGUUGCUGGGUAGGAGAGCGUCCUGCGAGGGGCGAAGCGGCCGGGUAACCGUGCCGUGGACUUCGUGGGAGUGAGAAUGCAGACAUGAGUAGCGAGAGACGGGUGAGGAUCCCGUCCGCUGGAUGACCAAGGGUUCCGGGGCCACGUUCGUCGUCCCCGGGUGAGUCGGGUCCUAAGGCGAGGCCGACAGGCGUAGUCGAAUGGAUGAACGGGUGGAUAUUCCCGUACCGACCAUGGACCGGCAAAACCGAGACGGUGAGUACUAACCUCCGCCUCGUGGUGGUUCCUUCCUUCGGGUUGGUGUCGCCGCGUGGUGUUGGGACUGUAGCCGUAGUAGGUCAGCGCAGGGGUGACACGGAAUGGGAGCCGGCCGCGGAGGUGGUUUUCCGUGGUCAAGCACGCAGCCAGUCAUGUAGGCAAAUCCGCAUGGCGCGCAUGGCGAGGUGUGAUGAUGGGAGCCGUUAUGGCUCGAUAUCCGGUUGUCCAGGCCGUCGAGAAAAGCCUCGGCGUGAGGGCCAUGGCCGCCCGUACCCCAAACCGACACUGGUGGUCAGGUAGAGAAUACCAAGGCGAUCGAGCGAAUCCUGGUCAAGGAACUCGGCAAAUCACUCCCGUGCCUUCGGUAUAAGGGAGACCCGCUGGGGUGAACCGGCUAGCCCGGGGAGCUUUGGUGGGUGGCACAGACCAGGGGGUAGCGACUGUUUACCAAAAACACAGGUGCAUGCGAAGGCGAAAGCCGCUGUAUAUGCACUGACGCCUGCCCGGUGCCGGAAGGUUAAGAGGAUCCGUCAGUCCCUUCGGGAUGAAGCGGUGAAUUCAAGCCCCGGUAAACGGCGGUGGUAACUAUAACCAUCCUAAGGUAGCGAAAUUCCUUGUCGGGUAAGUUCCGACCUGCACGAAUGGCGUAACGA
Molecule: ribosomal RNA, 1392 nt
Filed under: human gut metagenome
Description: bacterial LSU rRNA
Rfam family: Bacterial large subunit ribosomal RNA
Source: RNAcentral